AAUGGAGGCAACUCUGACGCAGCCAUGCCGCGUGCAGGAAGACGGCCCUACGGGUUGUAAACUGCUUUUAUCCGGGAAGAAACCCCUCGACGUGUCGAGGGUUGACGGUACCGGAGGAAUAAGCACCGGCUAACUUCGUGCCAGCAGCCGCGGUAAUACGAAGGGUGCAAGCGUUAUCCGGAUUCAUUGGGUUUAAAGGGUGCGUAGGCGGGGCGUUAAGUCAGUGGUGAAAUCCUGCAGCUUAACUGUAGAAUUGCCAUUGAUACUGGCGCUCUUGAGUACGCUUGGCGUGGGCGGAAUGUGCCGUGUAGCGGUGAAAUGCUUAGAUAUGGCACAGAACACCGAUCGCGAAGGCAGCUCACGAAGGCGAAACUGACGCUGAGGCACGAAAGCGUGGGGAUCGAA
This 405-nucleotide ribosomal RNA is filed under the name uncultured bacterium. Its description in RNAcentral is "bacterial SSU rRNA". It matches the Rfam family "Bacterial small subunit ribosomal RNA", at positions 370 to 772 of the family's 1533-position model. The record is from RNAcentral.